AACGCACAUUGCGCCUUUUGGUAUUCCGAGAGGCACGCCUGUUCGAGCGUCAGUACAACAUCCAAUCCUUCUUUUAGUGAUUGGGAUUUGGCAGGGGAUUCGGCCGCGCGCUUUCGGGUGCACCGGCCUCCCCCGCUUAAACGCGUAGAAAGUUAGCGGACACGUCCACGACCGCAGAGACUAGUAAUCAUUCUUGUCACCAAAGUCUGGGCCGACCACCAAAUUAAGGGACCGUGGCAACACGGCAACCCUCCUGACCUUGACCUCGAAUCAGACGAGGAUACCCGCUGAACUUAA
This 297-nucleotide unclassified non-coding RNA is filed under the name uncultured fungus. Its description in RNAcentral is "partial contains 5.8S ribosomal RNA, internal transcribed spacer 2, and large subunit ribosomal RNA". The record is from RNAcentral. RNAcentral also lists the same sequence under 1 other name. Lineage: Eukaryota; Fungi.